Molecule: ribosomal RNA, 255 nt
Filed under: uncultured bacterium
Lineage: Bacteria
Description: partial 16S ribosomal RNA
Rfam family: Bacterial small subunit ribosomal RNA
Source: RNAcentral
UACGUAGGGCGCAAGCGUUAUCCGGAAUUAUUGGGCGUAAAGAGCUCGUAGGCGGUUUGUCGCGUCUGCCGUGAAAGUCCGGGGCUCAACUCCGGAUCUGCGGUGGGUACGGGCAGACUAGAGUGAUGUAGGGGAGACUGGAAUUCCUGGUGUAGCGGUGAAAUGCGCAGAUAUCAGGAGGAACGACCGAUGGCGAAGGCAGGUCUCUGGGCAUUAACUGACGCUGGAGGAGCGAAAGCAUGGGGAGCGAACAGG